UGGGGAAUCUUGGGCAAUGGGGGAAACCCUGACCCAGCGACGCCGCGUGGGGGAUGAAGGCCUUCGGGUCGUAAACCCCUGUUAGGUGGGACGAACGUCUUCCGGUGAAUAGCCGGAGGACCUGACGGUACCACCAGAGAAAGCCCCGGCUAACUCCGUGCCAGCAGCCGCGGUAAUACGGAGGGGGCGAGUGUUGUUCGGAAUUACUGGGCGUAAAGGGCGCGCAGGCGGCUUGGCAAGUCGAGUGUGAAAUCCCUUGGCUUAACUGAGGAAUUGCGCUUGAAACUACCUCGCUGGAGGGCGGGAGAGGGAAGUGGAACUCUCGGUGUAGGGGUGAAAUCUGUAGAUAUCGAGAGGAACACCGGUGGCGAAGGCGGCUUCCUGGCCCGUACCUGACGCUGAGGCGCGAAAGCGUGGGGAGCAAACAGGAUUAGAUACCCUGGUAGUCCACGCCCUAAACGAUGGGCACUAGGUGUGGGCGGUAUUAAUCCCGCCUGUGCCGUAGCUAACGCAUUAAGUGCCCCGCCUGGGGAGUACGGUCGCAAGGCUGA
RNAcentral lists this ribosomal RNA (551 nucleotides) under uncultured bacterium. Its description in RNAcentral is "bacterial SSU rRNA". It matches the Rfam family "Bacterial small subunit ribosomal RNA", at positions 355 to 897 of the family's 1533-position model. The record is from RNAcentral.